RNAcentral lists this ribosomal RNA (624 nucleotides) under Nectoporus sanmarkii. Its description in RNAcentral is "partial 16S ribosomal RNA". It matches the Rfam family "Bacterial large subunit ribosomal RNA", at positions 1825 to 2767 of the family's 2925-position model. Lineage: Eukaryota; Metazoa; Arthropoda; Insecta; Coleoptera; Dytiscidae. The record is from RNAcentral.
GUCCUUUAGAAAUUAGAAUUUAAGGUCUGACCUGCCCACUGAUAUUUUGAAUGGCCGCAGUAAUUUGACUGUGCAAAGGUAGCAUAAUCAUUAGUUUUUUAAUUAAAAGCUUGUAUGAAUGGUUGGACGAAAUAAAAUCUGUCUCUGAGUAAGUAUUAGAAAUUAAUUUUUAAGUUAAAAAGCUUAAAUUUUAUUAAAAGACGAGAAGACCCUAUAGAUCUUUAUAAUAUUUUUUAUAAUUUUAUUUCAGAUUUUUUUAUUAAUUAUAAAUACUAUUAUUUUAUUGGGGUAAUAAAAAGAUUAAAAUAAUUCUUUUUAAAAUUUAACAAAAAUAAUUGGUUAUAUGAUCCUUUUUUAUUGAUUAUAAGAUUAAGUUACCUUAGGGAUAACAGCGUAAUUUUUUUAGAGAGUUCAUAUCGAUAAAAAAGUUUGCGACCUCGAUGUUGGAUUAAAAAUUAUUUUGGGUGUAGAAGUUCAAAGUUUUGGUCUGUUCGACCAUUAGAUUUUUACAUGAUCUGAGUUCAGACCGGCGUAAGCCAGGUCGGUUUCUAUCUUUAUAAAAUUAUUAUAUUUUAGUACGAAAGGACCAAAUAUAGAAUAUAAUUAUAUUUAUUAUUUGAAUAA